Long non-coding RNA from Pecten maximus, 577 nucleotides. RefSeq lists it as uncharacterized. NCBI's taxonomy places the organism in Eukaryota, Metazoa, Mollusca, Bivalvia, Pectinida, Pectinidae. The transcript is spliced from 3 exons. The record is from RefSeq and is a predicted model, not a curated record.
GGACCACCUGUCGUCACAUCCCAGUCUGACCGUCGGGUUUACUACACAACCUAUACAACAAGUCUUACUCUCUACUGUAGUGCGGACGGCUCCUUCCCCCUCAUAUUUGUAUGGGAGCAUUAUGGAGGUGUUAUUCAGAAUCACACAGUGUAUAAUAGUGUGUCAAAUUUAACACUUAGACCUCACGACGACUGGAUCGAAGGAAUGUACACUUGCAUUGUGGGAAACAAGUAUGGCCGAGCAUUGAGUGACAAUAUGGAGGUGACCGAAAUGAUGAUAUACCCAAUAACCACCCCGACUAUUAACGUGACAUACAGUCCGCAAGUGAACAUGCCAUUUACAUUAUAUUGUGAUCAAUCACACAGCCACAGCGAAAUGACACCGGAAAUACACUGGGUCAAGGUCACAACAACGACAAACCUACCACGCCGGGUACAAUAUAAUAACCGAAUCACAUACGACACUGAUGGUAAUCUACACUUUUUGUACAUCGAUACGUCAGACCGAGGAGAAUACAGGUGUAACGUAACUCAUCCAUUCAUCCAGAAUUAUACACUUGGAACAAUCAUCAUUCUGG